GGAAACAAGAUGCUAAUACCGGAUAACAACAGAUGAUGCCUAUCAACUGUUUUAAAAGGUAAUGGUUCUGCUAUCACUCUUGGAUGGACCUGCGGUGCAUUAGCUAGUUGGUAGGGUAACGGCCUACCAAGGCGAUGAUGCAUAGCCGAGUUGAGAGACUGAUCGGCCACAUUGGGACUGAGACACGGCCCAAACUCCUACGGGAGGCAGCAGUG
This 215-nucleotide ribosomal RNA is filed under the name uncultured Lactobacillus sp. RNAcentral's name for it is "partial 16S ribosomal RNA". It matches the Rfam family "Bacterial small subunit ribosomal RNA", at positions 152 to 356 of the family's 1533-position model. The record is from RNAcentral. Lineage: Bacteria; Bacillati; Bacillota; Bacilli; Lactobacillales; Lactobacillaceae.